This 236-nucleotide long non-coding RNA is filed under the name Mytilus galloprovincialis (Mediterranean mussel). The record is from RNAcentral. Lineage: Eukaryota; Metazoa; Mollusca; Bivalvia; Mytilida; Mytilidae.
AAUAGCAAUAAUGUUCAGCAAAACAAGAUCUACAAAUAAGUUUUCAUGACCAAAAUAGUCAAUUGACCCCUUAAGGAUCGAAGUUAUUGCCCUUUAUAGUUAAUUUUUAGCAUUUUUCAUAAAUUUUUGUAAAUUUUUAGAAAAUAUUUUCCACUGUAAUUACUGGGCCAAGUUCAUUAUAGAUUGAGAUAAUUGUACCAACAAGAAUCUUCAGUAAAGUAAGAUCUACAAACACA